This is a long non-coding RNA of Culex pipiens pallens (northern house mosquito), 670 nucleotides long. RefSeq lists it as uncharacterized. Lineage: Eukaryota; Metazoa; Arthropoda; Insecta; Diptera; Culicidae. The record is from RefSeq and is a predicted model, not a curated record. The transcript is spliced from 2 exons.
GUUUGACUUGAUUGCAACCGAGUCGAACCAGUUGUUGUUGCUUUUAGGCUUUUGUAGGAUUUUGGACAGUUAAUAGGUAAGUUGUUUACUAGGUUCAAUUACUUUUUCUGCCGGAAAGUUCCGGCCGGAGUGGGCGAGUGACCGAAUCAAAGUGUCUUGUAUUCCAGAUUUCGGUCUUCGUGGCGGAGGAGGAGGAGGACGGGAAAUAUGGUUUACUCGGCGGGCCAUUCCGGAAGACGGGACGGGAAGGAACCAGUUUGCGAUCGUGGAAGCGGUUGGUGUUUGGUGUUUUACCGUCCGCGGGAUGUUGCGACGCAUACCUAAUGGAACUGGCAACAUACAUUUUCCAAUCUGAUUCUGCUGGAAACCGGAAUGCGUUCCCGUGUGGUCAUCCGUGGCUUCCGUAGAAUCCACGGAAGCAGCCCCGUUUUUUUCGUUCUCGUACUCCACAAAACCCACGUUUCCUCGUACUCCGGUAAACAUCAAUCCGUCGGAGAUCCAAGAUCGUCGCCAAGGCGUCGCAUCCGGGUUUUGAUCAGCUCGUCGAGGAACAAAAGUCCAACACGACCAAGAUGCUGCCACGGCCGCCUCAGAAGAACACCAACACCCAAGCCGGAAGCUGCGGUCAAGGCAAAUCCAGAAGGAAGCCAAGUUGGGGAAGAAUCGGCGA